Schistosoma margrebowiei is the source of this 45-nucleotide non-coding RNA. The record is from Rfam. NCBI's taxonomy places the organism in Eukaryota, Metazoa, Platyhelminthes, Trematoda, Strigeidida, Schistosomatidae.
AUCCGGCUGACGAGUCCCAAAUAGGACGAAAGGCGCAUUUUAGAU